GAUGAACGCUGGCGGCGUGCUUAACACAUGCAAGUCGAACGAAGCUGCCCAAAGGAAGUUUUCGGAUGGAAUUUAGGUAGACUUAGUGGCGGACGGGUGAGUAACGCGUGGAUAACCUGCCUUAUACAGGGGGAUAACGGAGAGAAAUUUCCGCUAAGACCGCAUAAGACCACAGCACCGCAUGGUGCAGGGGUAAAAUAUUUAUAGGUAUAAGAUGGAUCCGCGUCCGAUUAGCUUGUUGGUGAGGUAGAGGCUCACCAAGGCGACGAUCGGUAGCCGGCCUGAGAGGGUGAACGGCCACAUUGGGACUGAGACACGGCCCAAACUCCUACGGGAGGCAGCAGUGGGGAAUAUUGGACAAUGGGGGGAACCCUGAUCCAGCGACGCCGCGUGAGUGAAGAAGUAUUUCGGUAUGUAAAGCUCUAUCAGCAGGGAAGAAAAUGACGGUACCUGACUAAGAAGCCCCGGCUAACUACGUGCCAGCAGCCGCGGUAAUACGUAGGGGGCAAGCGUUAUCCGGAUUUACUGGGUGUAAAGGGAGCGCAGACGGCGAAGCAAGUCUGAAGUGAAAUGCAUGGGCUCAACCCAUGAAUUGCUUUGGAAACUGCUUGGCUUGAGUGUCGGAGGGGUAAGCGGAAUUCCUAGUGUAGCGGUGAAAUGCGUAGAUAUUAGGAGGAACACCGGAGGCGAAGGCGGCUUACUGGACGACAACUGACGUUGAGGCUCGAAGGCGUGGGGAGCAAACAGG
RNAcentral lists this ribosomal RNA (748 nucleotides) under uncultured Lachnospiraceae bacterium. RNAcentral's name for it is "bacterial SSU rRNA". It matches the Rfam family "Bacterial small subunit ribosomal RNA", at positions 28 to 776 of the family's 1533-position model. The record is from RNAcentral. Lineage: Bacteria; Bacillati; Bacillota; Clostridia; Lachnospirales; Lachnospiraceae.